Molecule: long non-coding RNA, 147 nt
Organism: Bradysia coprophila
Lineage: Eukaryota; Metazoa; Arthropoda; Insecta; Diptera; Sciaridae
Source: RefSeq, a predicted model, not a curated record
UCUUAGAAAUUAGGGCAUAUCGUAUGCAUAAACACCGUGGACUUUAUCAAUAUUACAAACGACUUUAUAAUGAAAACUCGCGACACGGAAUGAGGGGUUCAAUGUGUACAGUAUAUUCAUUCACCGCAUCGCCACAAAACUAUUCGC